RNAcentral lists this unclassified non-coding RNA (345 nucleotides) under Lepidosperma longitudinale. Its description in RNAcentral is "partial miscellaneous RNA". The record is from RNAcentral. Lineage: Eukaryota; Viridiplantae; Streptophyta; Magnoliopsida; Poales; Cyperaceae.
CUAUUUUUUUUUCUUCUUCAUUACAGAUUUAUUAUCGUUAUCGUUUCUUGCAUCUCUCGCGAAAUUCCGGGUAGGCACGAAUUCUCCCAAUUUGUGACCUAUCAUAGAAUCCAUUAUAUAAAUAGGUAAAUGUUCCUUUCCAUUAUGAAUACCGAUUGUAUGGCCAACCAUUGAGGGUAUAAUGGUAGAUGCCCGAGACCAAGUGACUAUUAUUUCUUUCUCCUCCCCCAUUUUGAUUUUUUGAAUUUUUUCCGAUAAAUGCUUAGCUACAAAUCUUUUUUCUUGACGUAUCACAGCUGAUUACUCCUUUUUUUCCAUGUUAAAGAUUGGCAUUCUAUGUCCAAU